ACUGAGGUUGCAGCAGUUGGAUGUUCGUUGUGAGACCAAGACAAAGGUCUGUCUAUUUCAAGAAUGAUAGUUUAACCUUGGGAGCUGCUGGGUGGUUUUGAAUAUUUAAUAUUUCUGGAUGCUUUUUGGUUGGUAUUAAAUCCUUUUUUGAAUAUUUCCUUGGUUCUAAAUUUCUAAUCUUGUAGGCUUGAAUCAUUUAACCAAUUUGGGCACAUAAUGAUGAAGAGAAAAAACAGGGAGCUAUUUCUUUUGUUCAUUUCUCUUCAGAAUUCAGGGACUGUUGUGAUUCUUUUAUUUUUACAACUUCACCCUCUGUUUUCACAUCCUUUUUAUCUUAUUUUUCUUUGGGGGAUUUGGGUUGGAAAGGGAGUAGGUCAACCACAAAACCACGUCUGUGCUACCUUUAGUUUUGUAAUUGUGCUGAAUUGCUGAUUGAUGUUACACAUACCCCUAAUGUUGGCAGCUGAGACAAACUGACCCUUCUUUCCAUUUAUUUUCAGGACAAUGUAUUUGUUAAUGUUG
RNAcentral lists this unclassified non-coding RNA (522 nucleotides) under Hevea brasiliensis (rubber tree). The record is from RNAcentral. Lineage: Eukaryota; Viridiplantae; Streptophyta; Magnoliopsida; Malpighiales; Euphorbiaceae.